AGAGUUUGAUCCUGGCUCAGAACGAACGCUGGCGGCGUGCCUAACACAUGCAAGUCGAACGUGAUCCAGAGCUUGCUCUGGUGAAAGUGGCGCACGGGUGAGUAACGCGUAGAUAAUCUACCUGAUGAUCCGGGAUAACACUUCGAAAGGGGUGCUAAUACCUGAUAAGCCCACGGGGUCUUCGGACUCUGCGGGAAAAGGGGGGGACCUUAGGGCCUUCCGUCAUCAGAUGAGUCUGCGUACCAUUAGCUAGUUGGUAGGGUAAAGGCCUACCAAGGCGACGAUGGUUAGCUGGUCUGAGAGGAUGAUCAGCCACACUGGAACUGAGACACGGUCCAGACUCCUACGGGAGGCAGCAGUGGGGAAUUUUGCGCAAUGGGGGAAACCCUGACGCAGCAACGCCGCGUGAGUGAUGAAGGCCCUUGGGUCGUAAAGCUCUGACAGAGGGAAAGAAGUGUAGAGUGGCUAAUAUCCACAUUACUUGACGGUACCCUCAAAGGAAGCACCGGCUAACUCCGUGCCAGCAGCCGCGGUAAUACGGGGGGUGCAAGCGUUGUUCGGAUUUAUUGGGCGUAAAGCGCGUGUAGGCGGUUUUAUAAGUCUGAUGUGAAAGCCCUGGGCUCAACCCGGGAAGUGCAUUGGAUACUGUAAGACUUGAAUACGGGAGAGGGUAGUGGAAUUCCUAGUGUAGGAGUGAAAUCCGUAGAUAUUAGGAGGAACACCGGUGGCGAAGGCGGCUACCUGGACCGAUAUUGACGCUGAGACGCGAAAGCGUGGGUAGCAAACAGGAUUAGAUACCCUGGUAGUCC
This 809-nucleotide ribosomal RNA is filed under the name uncultured bacterium. RNAcentral describes it as "bacterial SSU rRNA". It matches the Rfam family "Bacterial small subunit ribosomal RNA", at positions 8 to 796 of the family's 1533-position model. The record is from RNAcentral.